GGAAAGGAGAGGUUAACCACUUCCGUGAAAUUGUUGAAAAGGGGAAGCGCUUGCGGACCCAGACUUGCCCGCGGGGUGAUUCAACCCGGUGUUCUUCACCCGGUGCACUCCGCCCGUGGUUGGGCCACCACCGGUUCGGGCGGUCCGGAUCAAGGCUCCCCCGAAUGUGACUCCCUCCGCCGAGUGUUAUAGCCGCGGGUCUCAUCCCCCCGCCUGGCCCCGACGCCCCGCUUCGUGCUAGGAUGCUGGCCAUAAUGGUCGUAAGCGCCCGUCCGAAACCCGGACCAAAGAGUCUAACGUCUAUGCGAGGUUCGGGUGUCAAACCCCGUGCGCGUAAUGAAAGUGAACGGAGGUGGGAACCCGCAAGGGUGCACCAUCGACCGAUCCUGAUGUCUUCGGAUGGAUUCGAGUAAGAGCAUAGCUGUUGGGACCCGAACGAUGGUGCCUAUGCCUGAAUAGGGUGAAGCCAGAGGAAACUCUGGUGGACGCUCCCAGCGGUUCUGACGGCAAAUCGAUCGUCAAAUUUGGGUAUAGGGGCGAAAGCCUAAUCGAACCAUCUAACCGUGCCUACUAGAUGGCACACGGGCCCACGAGGUCCCAGUAGUCUGUCGCGGGGAUCUCCCCGUGUCGGGCGACACUGUCAGUCUCUCGGGGACGCCCCAUCUGGCCACCCCGCAGUGAGUUCCUC
This 688-nucleotide ribosomal RNA is filed under the name Acarospora sp. Its description in RNAcentral is "partial large subunit ribosomal RNA". It matches the Rfam family "Eukaryotic large subunit ribosomal RNA", at positions 377 to 1136 of the family's 3401-position model. Lineage: Eukaryota; Fungi; Ascomycota; Lecanoromycetes; Acarosporales; Acarosporaceae. The record is from RNAcentral.